UUUCCUACGGGGGGCAGCAGUGAGGAGUAUUGGUCAAUGGGCGAGAGCCUGAACCAGCCAAGUCGCGUGAAGGAUGACGGCCCUACGGGUUGUAAACUUCUUUUGUCAGGGAGCAAUUGGGUCCACGCGUGGGCUUAGCGAGAGUACCUGAAGAAAAAGCAUCGGCUAACUCCGUGCCAGCAGCCGCGGUAAUACGGAGGAUGCGAGCGUUAUCCGGAUUUAUUGGGUUUAAAGGGUGCGUAGGCGGACUGUUAAGUCAGCGGUAAAAGCCCGGGGCUCAACCCCGGCGAGCCGUUGAAACUGGC
RNAcentral lists this ribosomal RNA (305 nucleotides) under uncultured bacterium. Its description in RNAcentral is "bacterial SSU rRNA". It matches the Rfam family "Bacterial small subunit ribosomal RNA", at positions 335 to 637 of the family's 1533-position model. The record is from RNAcentral.